CUACACGGGUAUCUAAUCCCGUUCGCUCCCCUAGCUUUCGCGCCUCAGCGUCAGAAGAGGUCCAGCACGUCGCUUUCGCCACCGGCGUUCCUUCCGAUAUCAACGCAUUUCACCGCUCCACCGGAAGUUCCACAUGCCCCUACCUCCCUCGAGACAGCCAGUUUCAAAGGCAAUUUUCCGGUUGAGCCGAAAGAUUUCACCCCUGACUUGGCCGCCCGCCUACGCGCCCUUUAAGCCCAGUGAUUCCGAACAACGUUUGCACGGUUCGUCUUACCGCGGCUGCUGGCAC
Molecule: ribosomal RNA, 289 nt
Filed under: uncultured Planctomycetaceae bacterium
Lineage: Bacteria; Pseudomonadati; Planctomycetota; Planctomycetia; Planctomycetales; Planctomycetaceae
Description: partial 16S ribosomal RNA
Source: RNAcentral